Molecule: microRNA precursor, 191 nt
Filed under: Oryza brachyantha (malo sina)
Lineage: Eukaryota; Viridiplantae; Streptophyta; Magnoliopsida; Poales; Poaceae
Description: MIR812 microRNA precursor family
Rfam family: MIR812 microRNA precursor family
Source: Rfam by way of RNAcentral
AAUAACUUUAUUUUUCGUUUUUUCGUAUCUAACGUUUGACUAUUCGUCUUAUUUAAAUUUUUUUGUGAUUAAUAUUUUUAUUGUUACCGGAUAAUAAAAAUAUAAAUGGUACUUUAUAUGUGACUAUUUUUUUAAAUUUUUAUAUAAUUUUUUAAAUAAAACGAAUGAUUAAAUAUUAGACAUGAAAAAAC